GGAUGUAGAUUAGUGGUAGAGUGCUUGCUUAGCAUGCAGGGGGGCUUGGGUUUGAUCCCCAGCACCA
RNAcentral lists this transfer RNA (67 nucleotides) under Marmota monax (woodchuck). Its description in RNAcentral is "tRNA.Ala". Lineage: Eukaryota; Metazoa; Chordata; Mammalia; Rodentia; Sciuridae. The record is from RNAcentral.